UGGGGAAUUUUGGACAAUGGGCGAAAGCCUGAUCCAGCAAUGCCGCGUGUGUGAAGAAGGCCUUCGGGUUGUAAAGCACUUUUGUCCGGAAAGAAAUCCUUGGCUCUAAUACGGUCGGGGGAUGACGGUACCGGAAGAAUAAGCACCGGCUAACUACGUGCCAGCAGCCGCGGUAAUACGUAGGGUGCAAGCGUUAAUCGGAAUUACUGGGCGUAAAGCGUGCGCAGGCGGUUUGCUAAGACCGAUGUGAAAUCCCCGGGCUCAACCUGGGAACUGCAUUGGGUGACUGGCAGGCUAGAGUAUGGCAGAGGGGGGUAGAAUUCCACGUGUAGCAGUGAAAUGCGUAGAGAUGUGGAGGAAUACCGAUGGCGAAGGCAGCCCCCUGGGCAAUACUGACGCUCAUGCACGAAAGCGUGGGGAGCAAACAGGAUUAGAUACCCUGGUAGUCCACGCCCUAAACGAUGUCAACUAGUUGUUGGGGAUUCAUUUCCUAGUAACGUAGCUAACGCGUGAAGUUGACCGCCUGGGGAGUACGGUCGCAAGAUUAAAACUCAAAUGAAUUGACGGGGUCAUAGCUGUUUCC
RNAcentral lists this ribosomal RNA (583 nucleotides) under uncultured bacterium. Its description in RNAcentral is "partial 16S ribosomal RNA". It matches the Rfam family "Bacterial small subunit ribosomal RNA", at positions 355 to 937 of the family's 1533-position model. The record is from RNAcentral.